Molecule: ribosomal RNA, 412 nt
Filed under: Pseudomonadota bacterium
Lineage: Bacteria; Pseudomonadati; Pseudomonadota
Description: Proteobacteria bacterium (marine metagenome) partial 23S ribosomal RNA
Rfam family: Bacterial large subunit ribosomal RNA
Source: RNAcentral
GGCUCAUCACAUCCUGGGGCUGUAGCCGGUCCCAAGGGUAUGGCUGUUCGCCAUUUAAAGUGGUACGCGAGCUGGGUUUAGAACGUCGUGAGACAGUUUGGUCCCUAUCUGGUGUGGGCGUUAGAAACUUGAGAGGAGCUGCUCCUAGUACGAGAGGACCGGAGUGGACGUACCUCUGGUGUUCCAGUUGUCAUGCCAAUGGCAUUGCUGGGUAGCUAUGUACGGACGGGAUAACCGCUGAAAGCAUCUAAGCGGGAAGCCCCCCUCAAGAUUAGGUUUCUCUGGACCUUUAAGGUCCCUAAAGGGUCGUUGUAGACUACAACGUUGAUAGGCGAGGUGUGGAAGCGCAGCAAUGCGUUAAGCUAACUCGUACUAAUUGCCCGUGAGGCUUGAUCAUAUAACACCCAAGAAG